CGCAACUGAAGUGACUUAACAGCAGCUGGCUUCUAUCAGGAGGAGAGGCACAGGUUUCCAAGAAUAAACAACUUUUAAAGGGAAUGAUACAAACUACUAUGAUACUAAGUAAUGAUUUUUGUAACUAGUCUGUGGCUUCUCCCUUACCUAGGUCUCUAGGAGAAUCACACUCUUAUUAUUGAGCAGAAGGGGGUUGGAUUUCUUCCUGUUCUGUUCCCACCCUCCCAUGUCAGACCCCAACAAGGGUCCUUUGCCAGGUGUGGCUUGUUCCAAUAGAACGUGCUCUGGAGCACAUGCUCUCCCCUAAAUGCCCUCUACAGGGCUGCUGCUUGUGGUUCAUGUGAGUGGAGAGGGGCGGAGUUCUCUCGAGUCCAGGCUCAGCUGUGUAGCUACGUGCCCAGUUCUCAGUACCAGGUGCAUCGCCUCUGCCCACCGCCCCCUGACCGCCAUCUUGAAUCACAGCACUGGGAGCAGCGUCUCUGCACAGGGCUCUGAGCUGAGGUGUCACUGGAGCCGUUUCUCCCCAAGGAAUCUUCUCUGAAGGGCCAGGGAUGUGAGGCCUCUGCAGGAGGUGACCUGUGAGCAAGUGAAAGUCAACUCAGCACAAAGGGAAAGAAAAAAGGUUUGCAGAAGACUGACUCCCUGGUUCUGGCUAAGUUUGUCCUCUGAGCAGCCUUCGUGACCACCCAGUUUAAAUCAGGGCUUGCCAGCCAUCUCCAGCCACUCUCACUUCCUGUUCUUCAUAUUCCUCAUCAAACCUGAUAGUAUCUUGUUCAUACAUUUACUUUUUUACCAUCUAUCUCCCACUACUUCAAUGUAAACACCAUGAGAAGAUAAACCUUACAUAUCUUGUAGGUUGUUGAUUCCCAGUGCUUUGAAGGGUAGAUGUAUGAUAGAUGUUCAAAAGUACUUGUUUAAAAAUAAUUCAUAAUUUGUUCAAUCAUGUUGCUAUUGCUAAACUUAGAAGUUAGGAUAUUUCUAAAUCCUAUUACAAUUUAAUAAUAACCACUGCCCUGAGAAACAUUUGUAUAUAAAUAAAAUUGUGCAUAAAUAGU
Molecule: long non-coding RNA, 1055 nt
Organism: Bubalus bubalis (water buffalo)
Lineage: Eukaryota; Metazoa; Chordata; Mammalia; Artiodactyla; Bovidae
Exons: 2
Source: RefSeq, a predicted model, not a curated record